GUAAAUCACACUUACCACUGAUUCAAAGUCUCUUUAUUUUCUCACUCUUUCUGCCAGUGUCGGUAGCUGUAACUGACGGACGUGAAGUAACUGUUGGCUAAAUAUCUUGUUUGUCUUCUCUUUUUAUUCUAUGAGACUCAACAUCCAGGACUUGUUGACAGCAGAGACGAUGCGUUUACCCCGGAGCAGAUGAGAAGGAUGGACGACUAGAGGAGAGCGCUGGUCGCCUUUCUUUCACUCCGCUAACGAUGGCUGGACUCCUCCUCUUUGUUUUGGUCCUCAUUGGUAGUCAAACUGAGCCCACCACCACCACCACAGCCACCAGCCAAGGGGAUGAGCAAUAUUUGACAAUAUAUGAUAUCUGAAAUAAAAGAUAAUUAUUUGAUUUU
Centropristis striata (black sea bass) is the source of this 389-nucleotide long non-coding RNA. RefSeq lists it as uncharacterized. Lineage: Eukaryota; Metazoa; Chordata; Actinopteri; Perciformes; Serranidae. The record is from RefSeq and is a predicted model, not a curated record. The transcript has 2 exons.